AGAAGUCGUAACAAGGUUUCCGUAGGUGAAUCUGCGGAAGGAUCAUUG
Molecule: ribosomal RNA, 48 nt
Filed under: Lespedeza potaninii
Lineage: Eukaryota; Viridiplantae; Streptophyta; Magnoliopsida; Fabales; Fabaceae
Description: partial 18S ribosomal RNA
Rfam family: Eukaryotic small subunit ribosomal RNA
Source: RNAcentral